UGACCUCCUUUCGUUCCGACUCAUAUAUCGGUUCCGACUCGAGCUCUUUCUUCCUCGACCCGGCCUCCUUCUUCCUCACCCCGCAAGGGCGACGGAGGUCUCUCGAUCGAUUCGCCUUCGUUCUCGCGGAGGAGGGAUCGCCGUACCGAUUCUCCUUCAUUCUCGCCUUUGAUCUGUUCCCGCGGGAUGGCUUCUGUUUCAGAAGAAGGCAUUGGAGUUGGCCAACCUGAAGAAUCAGAAGGAGAUGAAGUAAUUGAAUAUCCACCCAUGGUCUUCGAAAUGCUCAAGGAGCAAUAGUUUUCCCCAGGAAGUUAUGCAAUCCCACAUAUAUUACCAGAUUGUCAACAUUGCGUUUUAACAAGGCUGUCAAGAAAUUUAGUAGCAUACAACUUGGUCAUAUCAGGAAGUAUAAUAUGGAAGCGCUGCUUCAUAUGCCGUAUCAUC
This is a long non-coding RNA of Triticum aestivum (bread wheat), 444 nucleotides long. RefSeq lists it as uncharacterized. The transcript has 3 exons. NCBI's taxonomy places the organism in Eukaryota, Viridiplantae, Streptophyta, Magnoliopsida, Poales, Poaceae. The record is from RefSeq and is a predicted model, not a curated record.